ACUAAAUAGAUGAACUCCCAAAAAAAAAAGUGUCACUAGACUGCUGCAAUUCCUAAGAGAUCAUUUGCCCGCCGGCGAGUAUUUUCCCGGCGACAUUAUUCCCGGCGUCUUCGGGCAUCGUAAUGGCUUCCUCUAUUCCACCACCGAGAUCGGUCGCUUCCGGCGGUUUCCAGAACCCUAAUAAGUCAUUAAGCUUCUUUGCAAACGCAAUGAAGAGAAAAGACAGUUUCAUACAGUUUUUCGCCAUGACAGGAAUACUUCUAUUGAGUUUAAGAUCGCUUGGGCAAAAGUAUCGUAUUCAUAAUCUAAUGGAGGAUAAUGCUGCGCUUGAGGAAGAACAACAAGGACUUGUUCGGCGAAUGGAUCAUAUUAGGCAAAGCUUGCUUGCUGAAGCUGCUGCUGAGCCUACUGGUCUCUUUGCUUCCCGUCUUCGUCGCCUCUUCGGUGAAGACUGUUGAACAGCAUCAUGGAUUCAAACUGUCUGGAACAUACGCUCAAUCAUGUCAAACCGAAGCAGAAUUUACCUUCAAUUCCCUAAUCUCUAGAUCACGAUAUACAGUUCAAUUACUUGACAGUUGACAAUAAACCUGCCGCUUUGUUGCUUCAAAGGAUGGCGAUUUACUUGCCAGUUCGUUUAUGCCAGAUUUGUCUUUGGAGUUUGAAUCUGGUAAUUUUGUGAAUCACGUUGUGCUUCUUUCUUCGAGUGCUGUUAUAUAUAUACAGCCUGAGAGAGCAAUGUAACGAUUAAGUAGUAGUACUGGCUUAGUUUACACAACUUCUAGUUUUAUUUACACAUAACACUGAGUUGUCUUGAAUCAUAACAAAUAAAUGGUUGUUUUCUAUCUAUUUGUGGGAAAAAAACAGCUGAUGUUGCAACAAAA
Molecule: long non-coding RNA, 881 nt
Organism: Solanum pennellii
Lineage: Eukaryota; Viridiplantae; Streptophyta; Magnoliopsida; Solanales; Solanaceae
Exons: 2
Source: RefSeq, a predicted model, not a curated record